UGGGGAAUAUUGCACAAUGGGGGAAACCCUGAUGCAGCGACGCCGCGUGAACGAAGAAGGUUUUCGUAUCGUAAAGUUCUGUCCUAUGGGAAGAUAAUGACAGUACCAUAGAAGAAAGCUCCGGCUAAAUACGUGCCAGCAGCCGCGGUAAUACGUAUGGAGCGAGCGUUGUCCGGAAUUAUUGGGCGUAAAGGGUACGCAGGCGGUUUAAUAAGUCGAAUGUUAAAGAUCGGGGCUCAACCCCGCAAAGCAUUGGAAACUGAUAAACUUGAGUAGUGGAGAGGAAAGUGGAAUUCCUAGUGUAGUGGUGAAAUACGUAGAUAUUAGGAGGAAUACCAGUAGCGAAGGCGACGUUCUGGACAAAAACUGACGCUGAGGUACGAAAGCGUGGGGAGCAAACAGG
Molecule: ribosomal RNA, 403 nt
Filed under: bacterium
Lineage: Bacteria
Description: partial 16S ribosomal RNA
Rfam family: Bacterial small subunit ribosomal RNA
Source: RNAcentral